Long non-coding RNA from Mauremys mutica (yellowpond turtle), 2111 nucleotides. RefSeq lists it as uncharacterized. The record is from RefSeq and is a predicted model, not a curated record. The transcript is spliced from 3 exons. NCBI's taxonomy places the organism in Eukaryota, Metazoa, Chordata, Testudines, Geoemydidae.
CUUCGCCCCCAAAAGUAUGUUUCCCUUGGUUACUCCUCCCUCCCCUACUGCAAGAUUUAACAGAGGAAGCAGUGUUACUAUUCUUCAAAGCCUUCCUAGCUUCAGCAAUAGAGAAUUUAAACAGGAAGCUUCUGAAGAUGGAGACAACUCAAAGAAAUGUCCCUACUUACCUUGCCCUGUCGAUCUUUAACUUGUUGUGUUGCUGCCUCCCGCUUGGAAUAGCUGCUCUCAUCUUUUCUCUCAGAGUAGAGAAUGCAGCUGGGACAGGUGACAUGGAGCGAGCGUCCCAAGCUUCCCGCACUGCCCGCAUACUGAAUAUCAUCGGGAUUGUCGUAGGAGUAAUUUUCCUCAUCAUUAUAAUUGUUGUCGUGGUAGUGGGAAGAAGCGCCAAGUGAUAGAAGCCAGCGUCACCUUCAAAAAACUAAGCCAUACUAUUGUUAGACAGAAGGGAAAAGGAGAGGGAUAGGAAAGAAAAGAACUAAGGUGCGGGAAAGGAAAGGGCACAUAAGAGUAUGUGUCUAUGUGAGGCACUAGUUUCGCGUCCCAGGGAGUGCUCAGGGGUUAGCCAGAUCUGGUGGGCAUGGUGAGGUCAUCUGAGGUCCCUCUCUUUGGCCUGGUCUGGUCAGGACAUCUCUUGGGAUUGGGACAAAAAAGGCACAGUGGAGUCACACUAAAUCCCAGAAGACCAUGGAGUUGGCAGCCAUGAUGGUGACGCUCACACCUUCCCCUUUUCUCAUCUUCCAGUCAGCUAGCAUUCACAUCUCUCCAUCCCUGAUUUUCCCUCAAAAGUCUGUUUUUAAAGACCCCAAAAGGAACUAAUGGGUGGAAUAGCCCGUCCUCUCAUCUUUUUGUCCAUCAAUUAGGCCUAUUUUCCAACACACCAGAUCGGGUUCAUUGAUUUCUGGCCUUACACCCCUUGCUUACCAGACAUGAUGUUAACACAAUCCUUGAGUUCUAUCAGGAGGCCUUUUUUGUUUAGACUAAUUCAGUCUUUCUGUUUCCCUUUUGUACCUUUUCUGAUUAACAUUCAUUGUUACAGGUUAUUGGAAUAUUUCUUAAAUUUUUAUUCACUUUCCCACAGAUGAGCUCACAACUCGGGUAAAUUUAUAGGCCCAGUUUUUACAACAAUGCUGACAUGAAUGGUAAGCAACGGCUCCUGUAUUUGUUUCCUGCUCUGCCAUUGGACAGAUGCCCUUUUACUAUGCUUCUUCCUUUGUAAAGGUACAGAAUGGGGAGGUAGGUGGUAUUAGGGUUGAAUGCACUAGCCUGAUACCUCUGGAGAGAUGAAUUCAAAUCCACUCUUAGACCCUGAUUCAGGAAUGUGUUUAAGCUCCAUUAACUUCAAUGGGACUUGAGCACAUGUUUAAGCACUUUACUGAAUCAGGGACUUAGUUUCAUUAGAUUUUGGAUUUAGAGUCUGAUAGGAGUCUUGCCGCUGGCUUCAAUGGGAGAUGAAUUGGGUUCAUAGUUCACAGGUGGCUGAGUCUGGUAGGUCUCAUCCUAAUCACUGCUUAUUUAUAUCCCAACCACCAUCACACAGUUCAUCCAGGAGUUGGAGUGUCAGGAGGUGCUAUUGGACUGGACUGAGGUGCCAUCAGCACAGUUGGAGAGGGCCAGGACUGUCGUGUGACAGGUGGCAAUUUCCUGGACAAACGUUAAGCUUAAUACAUUUUGGAGAGCAUUGUAUUAAAAAUGCAAUUGCUUAUGUGCUAUUGUGAGAUUGUGUGCAACUUCUCUAGGAGGAGGGGGUAUGCUUAUAUAUUUCCUCCACUUAUCAGCCCUUUUGAAGCUUUGCCCUGGCAAAUCCAUUGUCUGGCUGAUUACCUAUUCACAUUUCUUCCAACUGGAUUUUCCAAGGACCCAACAGACAAAGAAAGGAUUCUUGAAUAAAUAGCCUGAGUUUAAACUGAUUCAGAGCGGCCUUCAUUCUGAUCCAGCAAAGGGACAAGGCCUCUGGCUCACGGAGGGUCCCUCUCUUUAGGGCAGGGUUGGAAGGACUGAUAUCAACUAGAGCCCUUGUGGCGAGAAGGGAGGAGGUGAUCUCUGGCAAGCUUAUUACCGUGCAUGUAGGUUCUUUUAGUGUUUUUAAUGUUUGCUGUGUAAUACUUUUA